This 72-nucleotide transfer RNA is filed under the name Phrynosoma platyrhinos (Desert horned lizard). RNAcentral describes it as "tRNA-OTHER". Lineage: Eukaryota; Metazoa; Chordata; Lepidosauria; Squamata; Phrynosomatidae. The record is from RNAcentral.
GCCAAUGUGGGAUAGUGGUUUGAUUGCUGGACUAUGACUCUAGAGACCAGGGUUCAAUUCCCCGUUCAGCCA